This is a long non-coding RNA of Drosophila guanche, 249 nucleotides long. RefSeq lists it as uncharacterized. The record is from RefSeq and is a predicted model, not a curated record. NCBI's taxonomy places the organism in Eukaryota, Metazoa, Arthropoda, Insecta, Diptera, Drosophilidae. The transcript is spliced from 3 exons.
CAGGCAGGCAGGCAGGCAGGCAGCCAGGCAAAGGCAGUGCAAUGUAAAACCGCCGGAGGAGAAGAAAACACGCUGCCAGAUGAGACGACAAAUUACACGGGAACGUCAGAAUGAAGCCCGUAACUGUACGCUGUACGCUGCAUAUGGACCUGCAAAUCAAUCACAAAUUCCAUCCUUACACUAAUUGAAGUCUAUGGCAUAUCCGAUCGAUACUUUCCCAUGCCAAUCGAGAUUACCUGAGAGGGAGCA